This 466-nucleotide ribosomal RNA is filed under the name uncultured bacterium. RNAcentral describes it as "partial 16S ribosomal RNA". It matches the Rfam family "Bacterial small subunit ribosomal RNA", at positions 29 to 507 of the family's 1533-position model. The record is from RNAcentral.
AUGAACGCUGACAGAAUGCUUAACACAUGCAAGUCACCUUGAAUUUGGGUUUUUAACUUAGGUUUGGGUGGCGGACGGGUGAGUAACGCGUAAAGAACUUGCCUCACAGCUAGGGACAACAUUUGGAAACGAAUGCUAAUACCUAAUAUUAUGAUAAUAGGGCAUCCUAUAAUUAUGAAAGCUAUAAGCGCUGUGAGAGAGCUUUGCGUCCCAUUAGCUAGUUGGAGAGGUAACGGCUCACCAAGGCGAUGAUGGGUAGCCGGCCUGAGAGGGUGAUCGGCCACAAGGGGACUGAGACACGGCCCUUACUCCUACGGGAGGCAGCAGUGGGGAAUAUUGGACAAUGGACCGAGAGUCUGAUCCAGCAAUUCUGUGUGCACGAUGAAGUUUUUCGGAAUGUAAAGUGCUUUCAGUUGGGAAGAAACAAAUGACGGUACCAACAGAAGAAGUGACGGCUAAAUACGUG